Molecule: ribosomal RNA, 273 nt
Filed under: uncultured bacterium
Lineage: Bacteria
Description: partial 16S ribosomal RNA
Rfam family: Bacterial small subunit ribosomal RNA
Source: RNAcentral
UACGGAGGAUCCAAGCGUUAUCCGGAUUCAUUGGGUUUAAAGGGUGCGUAGGCGGAAUGAUAAGUCAGUGGUGAAAUCCUGCAGCUUAACUGUAGAAUUGCCAUUGAUACUGUCAAUCUUGAGUACAUUUGAUGUUGGCGGAAUGUGUCAUGUAGCGGUGAAAUGCUUAGAUAUGACACAGAACACCGAUUGCGAAGGCAGCUGACAAAACUGUAACUGACGCUGAGGCACGAAAGCGUGGGUAUCAAACAGGAUUAGAAACCCCCGUAGUCC